Molecule: unclassified non-coding RNA, 204 nt
Filed under: Hevea brasiliensis (rubber tree)
Lineage: Eukaryota; Viridiplantae; Streptophyta; Magnoliopsida; Malpighiales; Euphorbiaceae
Source: RNAcentral
GCUUGCUGAAAGCAGUCGUUAACUCUCCAUUCAUCAUCUUCAAUGUUCUCCAAUUCACAGAAGCGAGAAGUCACACCCGAUAACGUCUCAUCAUACCCGAAAUGAGGCACUUUCAAAGUCUGUGCUUCCUUAAGCACAUUAGAUACCGCAUCCAACUCAAAUCUGCUGCUGAUGAAUAUCGGUUCAUUAUCUCGCUCCAUAAGC